RNAcentral lists this long non-coding RNA (494 nucleotides) under Gallus gallus (chicken). Its description in RNAcentral is "lncRNA (ENSGALG00010014529.1)". Lineage: Eukaryota; Metazoa; Chordata; Aves; Galliformes; Phasianidae. The record is from RNAcentral.
GCUGGCAGCCAGACAAUAACACCGAUGGGAUCGUCUUCAUCAGAACAUGUCAGCCCCUCCGUGAAAUUUAAGUAACUGCAACUUGGAGGCAGAAAAUGAUAAAGGAAAAAAAAAAAAAAAAAAGAAUACAAAAGUGCUCGGAAGAAGAAGCAGAGAGAUCAGAGGAGAGCUGCUGCAGGAGCCGCCCGCGCUGGGACAGCGGGUGCGGGCAGGAGGGAUGGUGCUACUUGCAGAGGGACCUGCAGGGACACCGUGGGACUGCCCGCAGCACAGCUCCUCUGGCACUGCCUGGGCAGGGAACCCCGCAGUCCAGCACAAGCCAGCUCCCACCAGCACAUCAGCCUCUUGCAGUGUCUGGAUCCGAGCUGUUGCUAAUGAGGAUGGUGCUCAUCAUGUGAUCGUGCCUUUGGGCAAGGGUGGUGGUGCUGCUAAUUGGCUUCUCUGGCUGCGGUUUCCUUAGGAAACAAGGUUAAAGCAACUCACAGCUCAAAAAU